CUGCCACAGUGCGCUAGGUGGGAUUCCUCUCGGGGAAGAGGAGGGAAGGGAAAAGGAGAAACCGGCGCGCACUUUCCCUUCCAAUGAUCCCAAUCUCGCCGCGCACUGGAAAAGCCUCUUCUCCCCCCAGACCCCGCCAGGCAAGACCGGGUACGGUAAUUUGGGCUUUCCGCAGGGCACUGGGGAAGCACUCUGCGGGCGGCCCCGCUCAGCCCCCGCGCUUCCCUGCGCUGCCCCGGAGGCUGCGGGAGCCGCGGUGCCCCCGCCUCCGCUCCGCGCUCCGGAGGAUGGAUGCUCCGGGGAUGGAUGCUCCGGGGGAUGCGGCGGAGCGGGCGUUUGGCGCAUCGCUGCCCGGAGGGGAUGGGAUGGGACCGGGUGGGCUGGGCUGGGGGUCACUCACCUCGCUGCAAGGUGACCCGCGGCGCGGUGCUCCCGGAGGGGCGGCUCAGCGCCCCGGCGCUCCGCCCGGCAGCAUCCCCGCGGCGGGGGCGGCGGCGGGCACCGGGCCCGGGGGAUGCACAGCGCCCGCCGAGAAGGGGCUGCGCCGCCUGCACCGCCUCGGCGGCACUGUGCGCUCGGCAGGAGGAGGAGGAAAAGGAGGAGGGAGGGAGGGAGAGGGAGAGAGAGGCAGGAGGAGGGAGAGAGGCAGGAGGAGAAGGAGCUCUGCGCGGCAGCGCGGCCAACUUUCCUUCUGCAGCGCAGCAGGAACAGCCUCCCGUCCCUCGGUGUGUAACCCCCGCCCCGGCGCAAUGCCGAGCGCACUGGGCUGCAUCCCACGGCAUCGAGGGGUGUUCCCCGCUCUCCUAACAAUCCUGCGCGACAGGGGUAAGCCAUGCUCAUCCCUCAUCCACUCCUCUUUCCAUCCCCAGCAGGCCUGCUAGCCAAGUCAUUUGCCUAAAAGCUUCUCUGUCACCACUUCUUUCUAGAUGCUUCAACAUCCGCGGCUCAAAACGCUGCUGGGAAAUCACAUGCUCCGUUUAGAUCACUGCUUCCCUUUGCCUCCACAGGGACAGAGACACCAGGAUGGAAAGCCCUGGCGCAUUUUUGGUGCCUCCACCUUUCAGGGAUACAGCUUCUGCUUCUCACUGCUUAUUUAUCAUUUGUUAUUCAUAGUCCUCAAAGCAGGCAUGCCAAAUCUUUGCCGAAGGAGAAUGUUCAAGAUUCAAAACACAAGUUAACUCACUUGGUCCCAUCUUAGGGUUUUUCUCCAGCCCUGCUUUCUCCUCUUCAACAAAAUUUUAUUGGUGUUCCAAACUCACUUUUUGUUUAGCAUAUCCUAGUGGUAUUCACAGAAGAUUUUUCUCUCCUUCUAAAUAUCUGAUUCCUUGUUCAUUCCUGAGUUGAUCUGGAGUUCAGGGGGGUUUUGUAUCUCAGAGAAAACAGUUUCUUCCUUAGUCUAGUAGGCACUGGGAGACAAUUCAUACAUAAUCAGCAGAAAGAAAUAGCCCCAAAUUAUGAUCACCCUGAUUCUCCAGAGUGUUUUUCACCUAUUCAUUUCUUGUGAAUAGAAGUCUCUAAAUCACCAUCAUUAUGUCUUUAUCAAGUAACACGUUUAGGCCUUUCCAUCCUAUUUGUACAGGGACACAACUUUAAGGGGGGUUGGCUUGCAGCCAAAGGUAUUUCAGCUCCUACAGUGCAAAUUCAUCAGUCAUCACUGCUACUGAUUGGAGGUACCAACUGCUUUGGAUGGAUGGUGAAUUCCUGCUGAAAUUCAUUUUUCAGUGACCAAAUGUAUUUGUGAAAUAGGGGGAAAUCCAAAAAGAUUUGUUGGGAAUAUUUAAAAAAAAAAAAAAUUCAUUUAUGCAGAAUGGACUGGGGAAGGGAUUUCCAGAUCACCAAAUCAAAUUUUCUUGCUUCCAGGCAGUUUGUUUCCUUCUGGCCAAAACCCCAAAAUAUGGGGUUUUUUCCAUAAUGUUAUCAAAGUGAGAUUCAGUGACAUCAGGGAAGUAAUAAUUUCCUCUAACGCUGUUCCUUUGCAUUUGCCAUUCUCCCUGAAUCAAACUAGGCACAUUCUUCUUUCAGUCUGGGAACACCAUGGCACUUUGUGUCCAUGAGGAAAUCUGGUCUCAUUUGGUUUACUUGAAUUUUUCAGCAGAACCAAGAAAAUCUAAGUAAAGGAGCAAUCACAAUCCAACAAUGACAGGGGUUGAAAACAUUGCUACAGACCAGAGCAUACUUCUCCCUUUCUUUUAGUUAGCCCUCUUCUCUUGCCCAAAACCAUCAAAGAAUUUACCAAUACACUAAUUAACUCAUAAUUACCUAGUUUUAAUUAUGGCACUACAUUUGCCAUAAAUUGUCCUGUUCCUUUUGCUGGAAAGCUGAUGACUGUGCCUGAUUUGAUUUUGAUAUUUGCAGCCCACUGGUACCCUGCUGAUUUUUGGAGAAAGCUCUUCAAAUAGCAACAGAAAGUGGCUUGUGGUGGGGCAGGUGAACUGCAGCAGGGUCGUUUGUGAUUUUGGUGGCUUCUCUUCAAGUGCAGCAGCAUCACUGAUAGUACUCCUCAAUACCAGGUUGUGCAGUGCAUCCUCAAUGCAUUGUGCUAGCACAUUUCACAACUUCUCAUGGCAAGAACUUUGGGGGUUCAUGUGUCUAGCAGUGGUAAUUAACUCUUUAUUUUUGUUUCUAAAGGUGCUUUCCUCCACAACUGAUGGAGAUGCAGGAAAGCUGCUGUGCAGACAGAAGCACAAAGAGGAACAAAAAGAAAUAUUUGAAAAGAGCAAAGGUGGGGAGGAAGAAAGUUCACCUCCCUGAGUCUGAUGGAUGUUGGAGCAGGGCAGCCCAUGAUGGCUUGUGAGCCUCCAUGGUCCUUCAGUUUCUGCCUGUGAGGAGCUAGGGAUUUGGGAGCCAUCAAGGCAGGAUGUCAAAAAGCAAAUGCCACCUGGAAGCAGAAAUGAGCAGAGAUGUACAAACAGCUUUUCUUACAGAAUGGAGGUUUGUAGGAGGCAGAGAAGGGAGGAGACUUUGCAGGCAUAUAUCACUGUAGCUUCAGGGAAAUCAGAAUGACCACGAGUCACGCUGAGCAGGGCUGUUACAGGAUGAGUGCUGACCCAACAAUUGGCCACUGCCUGCAGUGGCAGCACCCUAAGGAACAGCACACAGUCCUGAUCUUUGGUGCCCUGGGUGCUCUGCACCACAGCCUGGGAGAGUCCUUGGAGACAGAGCUGCUCUGAAAGCCCCAGGCCAAACUAGGUGGAACCAGCCCAGAGUGAGAGCAGGAGACAGCCCUGGUCUGGGAGCCACACACCCAGUGCUGCAGGAACAGCUCUGUGGAGGCCAGCAUUCCAGGAUUUCAGAGAACCAUUAACUGCUGCACCCACUGAUGUGCCAAAAUGGGACAGUCAUGUUUCACUGUGAUCCUCAGCUGCCCAAAGCCAGAAUCUGGGAUGACAGGAUGCAUGCUCGGGACACCAGGAGUGAGAAAGAGGAAAGGCAGAGCCUUGCAAGUGUGUUGGUGGUCUGUAGGAAGAGCAGCAGCACCACCUAUCACCGGAGAGGGAAGGAGAGAGGACACACCAGGUGCUGCUCCUCCUGCCUGUCCUCAGUACAAGACUGGAGCCCAGAUUUUUAGGAUCACCACAGAGAAACUUCCUUUUUCUAGCAGAGGAACCCGGCUUAAAUCUUUCACUGCACUCCUGCUAAAUCUUCCUGUGGGGCACAGCUAACAGAAGGAGAUGGAGGGGAUGGAAAGGUGAAGGCUUUGGAGAAGGGCUGAGAGCUGGAAUUUACAGAAUAAAAAUAAUGACCUUUAGGUCUACA
Molecule: long non-coding RNA, 3756 nt
Filed under: Junco hyemalis (dark-eyed junco)
Lineage: Eukaryota; Metazoa; Chordata; Aves; Passeriformes; Passerellidae
Description: lncRNA (ENSJHYG00000013859.1)
Source: RNAcentral